This 460-nucleotide ribosomal RNA is filed under the name uncultured bacterium. Its description in RNAcentral is "partial 16S ribosomal RNA". It matches the Rfam family "Bacterial small subunit ribosomal RNA", at positions 338 to 795 of the family's 1533-position model. The record is from RNAcentral.
CCUACGGGUGGCAGCAGUGGGGAAUAUUGGUCAAUGGACGAGAGUCUGAACCAGCCAAGUAGCGUGAAGGAUGACUGCCCUAUGGGUUGUAAACUUCUUUUAUAUGGGAAUAAAACGUUCCACGUGUGGGAUUUUGUAUGUACCAUAUGAAUAAGGAUAGGCUAACUCCGUGCCAGCAGCCGCGGUAAUACGGAGGAUCCGAGCGUUAUCCGGAGUUAUUGGGUUUAAAGGGAGCGUAGGUGGAUUGUUAAGUCAGUUGUGAAAGUGUGCGGCUCAACCGUAAAAUUGCAGUUGAAACUGGCAGUCUUGAGUACAGUAGAGGUGGGCGGAAUUCGUGGUGUAGCGGUGAAAUGCUUAGAUAUCACGAAGAACUCCGAUUGCGAAGGCAGUUCACUGGACUGCAACUGACACUGAGGCUCGAAAGUGUGGGUAUCAAACAGGAUUAGAUACCCCAGUAGUC